Maniola jurtina (meadow brown) is the source of this 504-nucleotide long non-coding RNA. RefSeq lists it as uncharacterized. The record is from RefSeq and is a predicted model, not a curated record. NCBI's taxonomy places the organism in Eukaryota, Metazoa, Arthropoda, Insecta, Lepidoptera, Nymphalidae. The transcript has 2 exons.
UGGCAGGCAACAAUGGCGACAGUAAAUCUAAAGUCAAAUGUAUAGUAGUAUAAAUAAAAACCCUUAUAAAUACUUACAACGAAAUUUUAAAUACUAGAGUGCAACGAAUUAUUACGUGCUAAAUCCAUGUAUAAAUAAUCUUUCACAGAAGCUAUUCACAAUACAUAAAUGGGUUUUAUUAUUAUGAUUGCAUUUAUAUUUCAGAAUCUAACUUAUCUGUAAGACAAUUCAAAAAUACCUAUUAUAAUGCCACUUUCAGCUAAUUUUCGUCGUGAAAUGCUGGCAGCAUUAAAAACUGCAAAGAAGAAAAAAGAGAAACAACAUUCACCAGAUGAUGAUGAAGAAGCCGACGAUGACGGUUCCGAUUCAGUUGUUACGAUUGAAAACAAACAAGAACCAGACAAAAGCAAACUUGAAAGAAAUUAAAGAUAUAAAACUAUAAAAGUAUAAUGUAAAAAAUAAGAAUUGGGUACUUUACAAAAGAGAAACAGGGAAUGAGUUAAA